RNAcentral lists this ribosomal RNA (642 nucleotides) under uncultured Anaplasma sp. Its description in RNAcentral is "bacterial SSU rRNA". It matches the Rfam family "Bacterial small subunit ribosomal RNA", at positions 815 to 1456 of the family's 1533-position model. The record is from RNAcentral. Lineage: Bacteria; Pseudomonadati; Pseudomonadota; Alphaproteobacteria; Rickettsiales; Anaplasmataceae.
GCUGAAUGUGGGGAUAAUUUAUCUCCGUGUUGUAGCUAACGCGUUAAGCACUCCGCCUGGGGACUACGGUCGCAAGACUAAAACUCAAAGGAAUUGACGGGGACCCGCACAAGCGGUGGAGCAUGUGGUUUAAUUCGAUGCAACGCGAAAAACCUUACCACUCCUUGACAUGGAGAUUAGAUCCUUCUUAACAGAAGGGCGCAGUUCGGCUGGAUCUCGCACAGGUGCUGCAUGGCUGUCGUCAGCUCGUGUCGUGAGAUGUUGGGUUAAGUCCCGCAACGAGCGUAACCCUCAUCCUUAGUUGCCAGCGGGUAAGCCGGGCACUUUAAGGAAACUGCCGGUGGUAAACCGGAGGAAGGUGGGGAUGAUGUCAAGUCAGCACGGCCCUUAUGGGGUGGGCUACACACGUGCUACAAUGGUGACUACAAUAGGUUGCAAUGUCGCAAGGCUGAGCUAAUCCGUAAAAGUCAUCUCAGUUCGGAUUGUCCUCUGCAACUCGAGGGCAUGAAGUCGGAAUCGCUAGUAAUCGUGGAUCAGCAUGCCACGGUGAAUACGUUCUCGGGUCUUGUACACACUGCCCCGUCACGCCAUGGGAAUUGGCGUAACUCGAAGCUGGUGCGCUAACCGAAAGGAAGCAGCCAU